This 486-nucleotide ribosomal RNA is filed under the name uncultured bacterium. RNAcentral's name for it is "bacterial SSU rRNA". It matches the Rfam family "Bacterial small subunit ribosomal RNA", at positions 28 to 526 of the family's 1533-position model. The record is from RNAcentral.
GAUGAACGCUAGCGGCAGGCUUAAUACAUGCAAGUCAAGGGGGUAGCAAUACAACCGGCGCACGGGUGAGUAACGCGUACACAACAUACCAUAUACUGGAGUAUAGCUUUGGGAAACUGAAGGUAAUCCUCCAUAACAUUGCGAGAGAGCAUCUGAUUGCAAUUAAAGUUUCGGCGGUAUAUGAUUGGUGUGCGUUUGAUUAGCUAGUUGGUAGGGUAACGGCCUACCAAGGCGACGAUCAAUAGCUGGCGUGAGAGCGCGACCAGCCACACUGGAACUGAGACACGGUCCAGACUCCUACGGGAGGCAGCAGUAGGGAAUAUUGGACAAUGGAGGAAACUCUGAUCCAGCCAUGCCGCGUGAUAGAUGAAGGCCCUCUGGGUUGUAAAUAUCUUUUAUCUGGGAAGAAACACUCCUAUUCUUAGGAACUUGACGGUACCAGAGGAAUAAGCACGGCUAACUCCGUGCCAGCAGCCGCGGUUAAAG